Molecule: small nuclear RNA, 111 nt
Organism: Gopherus agassizii (Agassiz's desert tortoise)
Lineage: Eukaryota; Metazoa; Chordata; Testudines; Testudinidae
Source: Ensembl
GUAUUUGCCUGUCAAAGCACAUACUAAAAUUGAAACGAAACAGAAAAGAUUAGCAUGGCCCCUGCGCAAGGAUGACAAGACAAGAAAGCUGAAAAUAUUAGGCAAACUUUU